Molecule: ribosomal RNA, 926 nt
Filed under: Bursaphelenchus xylophilus (pine wood nematode)
Lineage: Eukaryota; Metazoa; Nematoda; Chromadorea; Rhabditida; Aphelenchoididae
Description: eukaryotic LSU rRNA
Rfam family: 5.8S ribosomal RNA (bases 352-504)
Source: RNAcentral
CGUAACAAGGUAGCUGUAGGUGAACCUUCGGCUGGAUCAUUACCGAUCCUAUGACACAUUUAUUCGUGCUCGUCACGAUGAUGCGAGAGGUGACUUCGGUUGCCGCGCAUGAUGGCGGUUCGAUUCGCGUCGUUCCGCCUACUGAUGGUUCGCACGGAAGCCGAGAGGCGACCGUGCAACGGUGAAGUCUGGGUUUCUACGUGCUGUUGUUGAGUUGGCGUUUUACCGUGCCGACAGAUGAGACCAGCCAGCUGCUUGCCGAUUCGUUCUGGCGAGCGUAGGAUUGAAAAGCCCGAGCGGCUGCCCUGACAAAACAUUCAUUUUACAUUUAUUUUGUUGGAAAAGAGCUUUAAGUUACUCCGGUGGAUCACUUGGCUCGCGGGUCGAUGAAGAACGCAGUGAAUUGCGAUAAUAAGUACGAAUUACAGAUAUUAUGAGUACCAUGUUUUUGAAUGCAUAUUGCGCUCUUGGGCUUUGCUCUUGAGCAUAUCCGAUUCAGGGUGUGUUGUUAAACUCGAGCAGAAACGCCGACUUGUUUUUUCACAAGUUUCUGCACGUUGUGACAGUCGUCUCGCAUUGUUCGCGCAAUGUUAGGCACCAUCUGUUUUAGCGGAGCGUUUGUUCCGCGACCAAUAUCUUCUACGCACUGUUUGUGCGUGCGGCGAGAGGGCUUCGUGCUCGAUUGUCGUGCGUCUAAACCGUUUGGUGAUGUUGUUUCAACGGCGCGGCCGUCAGGGACGUUCGGAUGAGAAUGUUUGGAGUCCUGGCUGCGGUUUUGUUGAGCUUCGUCGUGAAGCCUUGCGGGCAGUGUUGUCGGAAUUGGUUGAAACCACCUGAGUUGGGUAUGACUACCUGCUGAACUUAAGCAUAUCAGUAAGCAGAGGAAAAGAAACAAACAUGGAUUCCCUUAGUAACGGCGAGUGAAA